RNAcentral lists this ribosomal RNA (760 nucleotides) under uncultured bacterium. Its description in RNAcentral is "partial 16S ribosomal RNA". The record is from RNAcentral.
AGUAUCUAAUCCUGUUCGCUACCCACGCUUUCGCACCUCAGUGUCAGUACAGAUCCAGGAGGCUGCCUUCGCCAUUGGUAUUCUUCACAAUAUCUACGCAUUCCACCGCUACACUGUGAAUUCUACCUCCCUCUAUCGUACUCUAGUGAAUCAGUUUUGGAUGCAGUUCCCAGGUUGAGCCCGGGGAUUUCACACCCAACUUAAUAAACCACCUACGCGCGCUUUACGCCCAGUAAUUCCGAUUAACGCUUGGACCUUCCGUAUUACCGCGGCUGCUGGCACGGAAUUAGCCGGUCCUUAUUCUGAUGGUAAUGUCACGGUUAUUGGGUAUUAACCAAUAACUUUUCUUCCCAACUUAAAGUGCUUUACAACCCUAGGGCCUUCUUCACACACGCGGUAUGGCUGGAUCAGGCUUUCGCCCAUUGUCCAAUAUUCCCCACUGCUGCCUCCCGUAGGAGUCUGGGCCGUGUCUCAGUCCCAAUGUGGCGGAUCGUCCUCUCAGACCCGCUAAAGAUCGUAGCCUUGGUGAGCCUUUACCUCACCAACAAGCUAAUCUUACGCAGGCUCAUCUAGUAGCGAAAGCUUCAAAGAGAGGCCUUCUUUCUCCCGAAGGAGGUAUACGGUAUUAAUCCGAGUUUCCUCGGGCUAUCCCCUUCUACUAGGUAGAUUCCUACGCGUUACUCACCCGUCCGCCGCUCUACUCAUAUCCGAAGAUACUUUCUCGCACGACUUGCAUGUGUUAAGCCUACCGCCAGCGUUC